Molecule: ribosomal RNA, 2401 nt
Filed under: Staphylococcus aureus M1142
Lineage: Bacteria; Bacillati; Bacillota; Bacilli; Caryophanales; Staphylococcaceae
Description: bacterial LSU rRNA
Rfam family: Bacterial large subunit ribosomal RNA
Source: RNAcentral
UUAAGUUAUUAAGGGCGCACGGUGGAUGCCUUGGCACUAGAAGCCGAUGAAGGACGUUACUAACGACGAUAUGCUUUGGGGAGCUGUAAGUAAGCUUUGAUCCAGAGAUUUCCGAAUGGGGAAACCCAGCAUGAGUUAUGUCAUGUUAUCGAUAUGUGAAUACAUAGCAUAUCAGAAGGCACACCCGGAGAACUGAAACAUCUUAGUACCCGGAGGAAGAGAAAGAAAAUUCGAUUCCCUUAGUAGCGGCGAGCGAAACGGGAAGAGCCCAAACCAAAAAGCUUGCUUGUUGGGGUUGUAGGACACUCUAUACGGAGUUACAAAGGACGACAUUAGACGAAUCAUCUGGAAAGAUGAAUCAAAGAAGGUAAUAAUCCUGUAGUCGAAAAUGUUGUCUCUCUUGAGUGGAUCCUGAGUACGACGGAGCACGUGAAAUUCCGUCGGAAUCUGGGAGGACCAUCUCCUAAGGCUAAAUACUCUCUAGUGACCGAUAGUGAACCAGUACCGUGAGGGAAAGGUGAAAAGCACCCCGGAAGGAGAGUGAAAUAGAACCUGAAACCGUGUGCUUACAAGUAGUCAGAGCCCGUUAAUGGGUGAUGGCGUGCCUUUUGUAGAAUGAACCGGCGAGUUACGAUUUGAUGCAAGGUUAAGCAGUAAAUGUGGAGCCGUAGCGAAAGCGAGUCUGAAUAGGGCGUUUAGUAUUUGGUCGUAGACCCGAAACCAGGUGAUCUACCCUUGGUCAGGUUGAAGUUCAGGUAACACUGAAUGGAGGACCGAACCGACUUACGUUGAAAAGUGAGCGGAUGAACUGAGGGUAGCGGAGAAAUUCCAAUCGAACCUGGAGAUAGCUGGUUCUCUCCGAAAUAGCUUUAGGGCUAGCCUCAAGUGAUGAUUAUUGGAGGUAGAGCACUGUUUGGACGAGGGGCCCCUCUCGGGUUACCGAAUUCAGACAAACUCCGAAUGCCAAUUAAUUUAACUUGGGAGUCAGAACAUGGGUGAUAAGGUCCGUGUUCGAAAGGGAAACAGCCCAGACCACCAGCUAAGGUCCCAAAAUAUAUGUUAAGUGGAAAAGGAUGUGGCGUUGCCCAGACAACUAGGAUGUUGGCUUAGAAGCAGCCAUCAUUUAAAGAGUGCGUAAUAGCUCACUAGUCGAGUGACACUGCGCCGAAAAUGUACCGGGGCUAAACAUAUUACCGAAGCUGUGGAUUGUCCUUUGGACAAUGGUAGGAGAGCGUUCUAAGGGCGUUGAAGCAUGAUCGUAAGGACAUGUGGAGCGCUUAGAAGUGAGAAUGCCGGUGUGAGUAGCGAAAGACGGGUGAGAAUCCCGUCCACCGAUUGACUAAGGUUUCCAGAGGAAGGCUCGUCCGCUCUGGGUUAGUCGGGUCCUAAGCUGAGGCCGACAGGCGUAGGCGAUGGAUAACAGGUUGAUAUUCCUGUACCACCUAUAAUCGUUUUAAUCGAUGGGGGGACGCAGUAGGAUAGGCGAAGCGUGCGAUUGGAUUGCACGUCUAAGCAGUAAGGCUGAGUAUUAGGCAAAUCCGGUACUCGUUAAGGCUGAGCUGUGAUGGGGAGAAGACAUUGAGUCUUCGAGUCGUUGAUUUCACACUGCCGAGAAAAGCCUCUAGAUAGAAAAUAGGUGCCCGUACCGCAAACCGACACAGGUAGUCAAGAUGAGAAUUCUAAGGUGAGCGAGCGAACUCUCGUUAAGGAACUCGGCAAAAUGACCCCGUAACUUCGGGAGAAGGGGUGCUCUUUAGGGUUAACGCCCAGAAGAGCCGCAGUGAAUAGGCCCAAGCGACUGUUUAUCAAAAACACAGGUCUCUGCUAAACCGUAAGGUGAUGUAUAGGGGCUGACGCCUGCCCGGUGCUGGAAGGUUAAGAGGAGUGGUUAGCUUCUGCGAAGCUACGAAUCGAAGCCCCAGUAAACGGCGGCCGUAACUAUAACGGUCCUAAGGUAGCGAAAUUCCUUGUCGGGGAAGUUCCGACCCGCACGAAAGGCGUAACGAUUUGGGCACUGUCUCAACGAGAGACUCGGUGAAAUCAUAGUACCUGUGAAGAUGCAGGUUACCCGCGACAGGACGGAAAGACCCCGUGGAGCUUUACUGUAGCCUGAUAUUGAAAUUCGGCACAGCUUGUACAGGAUAGGUAGGAGCCUUUGAAACGUGAGCGCUAGCUUACGUGGAGGCGCUGGUGGGAUACUACCCUAGCUGUGUUGGCUUUCUAACCCGCACCACUUAUCGUGGUGGGAGACAGUGUCAGGCGGGCAGUUUGACUGGGGCGGUCGCCUCCUAAAAGGUAACGGAGGCGCUCAAAGGUUCCCUCAGAAUGGUUGGAAAUCAUUCAUAGAGUGUAAAGGCAUAAGGGAGCUUGACUGCGAGACCUACAAGUCGAGCAGGGUCGA